Molecule: long non-coding RNA, 719 nt
Organism: Rhododendron vialii
Lineage: Eukaryota; Viridiplantae; Streptophyta; Magnoliopsida; Ericales; Ericaceae
Exons: 2
Source: RefSeq, a predicted model, not a curated record
UCCAUAGUAGUGCUCUGAAAGCAACCCCACCCCCCUCAAGUACACGUCCAAUUCAAUCGAACCUUCAAAUCCAAGUUUAUUGAAGACUUGAUUCUGCUAUUUGUCACAAUAACCAAGUAAAGCUUUGGAGACAUCGGAAAUGUCGGGACGCGGAAAGGGAGGCAAGGGGCUGGGAAAGGGAGGCGCAAAACAGCACCGCAAGGACCUCCGAGACAACAUCCAGGGGAUCACGAAGCCGGUCAUCAGGAGGCUGGCUUGCAAGGGAGGAGUGAAGCACAUCAAGAUCUUCUUGGAGAACGUGAUCCAUGACGCGGUGACGUACACGGAGCACACGAAAAUCAGCAAGUUUACUCCCCCUUUUCCCUCAUCUUCCUCCUUUACAUCAUCACUUUUUAUCGACGCGAAAAUCGCUGCCUCGCUACAACCACACCAACUCAAUUCCUCGAUAAGAGAGGCUUACUUGAUAUUCUCUCUGUUUUUAUGGCAUAUUCAAAAGAAAAUGUUAUACUCUGCAAUCAUUUAUGUGCUUUGUUUGUGUUUCAUGUAAACAAGGUGACGGUGUAUUGACAGCAAUGUAUGCUAUAGUUUAUAGUUCAAUCGGUCAUCGGACACUGCAUCUUAACAAGUGAGUUUUAUUUUUCUAAGUCUUUUGAUUAAUUUUUGAUUUACCAAAAAAAUCCUGUUGAUUGCUUCUUUUUAUACAACUUUGAUUGUUGAAA